AAACGGACUCCGACUUGGCUUUGUUGCUGCUGAAAUUGAUUUUGCCGGUCUUGCAAAAUUACACGCUAUAUGCAUGAGUCAUGGCAGGAAUGGAGGAGGCUGAGCUCCCCUUUGGAGGUGAUUCUUGAGGCGAGGGAAAGAGCCCAUCAAGACGACUGCACCAAAUAUCAUGGAAAUGAGCCAGAAGACAAACCGUCCAU
Molecule: long non-coding RNA, 200 nt
Organism: Alosa sapidissima (American shad)
Lineage: Eukaryota; Metazoa; Chordata; Actinopteri; Clupeiformes; Clupeidae
Exons: 3
Source: RefSeq, a predicted model, not a curated record